This 268-nucleotide ribosomal RNA is filed under the name uncultured bacterium. RNAcentral describes it as "partial 16S ribosomal RNA". It matches the Rfam family "Bacterial small subunit ribosomal RNA", at positions 524 to 788 of the family's 1533-position model. The record is from RNAcentral.
GACGUAGGGGGCCAGCGUUGCUCGGAAUUACUGGGCGUAAAGGGUUCGUAGGCGGUGCGGCAAGUCGGGAGUGAAAUCUCUGGGCUUAACUCAGGGGCUGCUUCCGAAACUGCCGUGCUUGAGUGCGGGGAGAGGCGAGUGGAAUUGCAGGUGUAGCGGUGAAAUGCGUAGAUAUCUGCAGGAACACCCGUGGCGAAGGCGGCUCGCUGGACCGCAACUGACGCUGAGGAACGAAAAGCUAGGGGGAGCAAACAGGAUUAGAAACCCC